GAGGUGAGCGCAAUGGGUCAGUGCGUCCAGCUGUUAACCAGAAGGUUGGUGGUUCAAGCCCACUCAGGAACA
RNAcentral lists this transfer RNA (72 nucleotides) under Podarcis lilfordi (Lilford's wall lizard). Its description in RNAcentral is "tRNA.Asn". Lineage: Eukaryota; Metazoa; Chordata; Lepidosauria; Squamata; Lacertidae. The record is from RNAcentral.